AGAGUUUGAUCAUGGCUCGGGACGAACGCUGGCGGCGCGCCUAACACAUGCAAGUCGAACGAGCGAGAGAGAGCUUGCUUUCUCGAGCGAGUGGCGAACGGGUGAGUAACGCGUGAGGAACCUGCCUCAAAGAGGGGGACAACAGUUGGAAACGACUGCUAAUACCGCAUAAGCCCACGGGUCGGCAUCGACCAGAGGGAAAAGGAGCAAUCCGCUUUGAGAUGGCCUCGCGUCCGAUUAGCUAGUUGGUGAGGUAAUGGCCCACCAAGGCGACGAUCGGUAGCCGGACUGAGAGGUUGAACGGCCACGAUUGGGACUGAGACACGGCCCAGACUCCUACGGGAGCA
This 347-nucleotide ribosomal RNA is filed under the name uncultured bacterium. RNAcentral describes it as "bacterial SSU rRNA". It matches the Rfam family "Bacterial small subunit ribosomal RNA", at positions 8 to 349 of the family's 1533-position model. The record is from RNAcentral.